Molecule: ribosomal RNA, 384 nt
Filed under: uncultured Pseudomonadota bacterium
Lineage: Bacteria; Pseudomonadati; Pseudomonadota
Description: bacterial SSU rRNA
Rfam family: Bacterial small subunit ribosomal RNA
Source: RNAcentral
UCGAACGAGAUCUUCGGAUCUAGUGGCAGACGGGUGAGUAACGCGUGGGAACCUGCCCAGUAGUAGAGAAUAACUUGGGGAAACUUAAGCUAAUACUUUAUACGUCCUUCGGGAGAAAGCUUUAUGCGCUAUUGGAUGGGCCCGCGUUAGAUUAGUUUGUUGGUGAGGUAACGGCUCACCAAGGCGACGAUCUAUAGCUGGUCUGAGAGGAUGAUCAGCCACACUGGGACUGAGACACGGCCCAGACUCCUACGGGAGGCAGCAGUGGGGAAUAUUGGACAAUGGGGGCAACCCUGAUCCAGCGAUGCCGCGUGAGUGAUGAAGGCCCUAGGGUUGUAAAACUCUUUCGUCAGGGAAGAUAAUGACGGUACCUGAAGAAGAAGA